GGGGUUGUAGCUCAGUGGUAGAGCGCUUGCCUUGUACGCAUGCUGCCCUA
Molecule: transfer RNA, 50 nt
Filed under: Ictidomys tridecemlineatus (thirteen-lined ground squirrel)
Lineage: Eukaryota; Metazoa; Chordata; Mammalia; Rodentia; Sciuridae
Description: Spermophilus tridecemlineatus (thirteen-lined ground squirrel) tRNA
Rfam family: tRNA
About the family: Transfer RNA (tRNA) molecules are approximately 80 nucleotides in length. Their secondary structure includes four short double-helical elements and three loops (D, anti-codon, and T loops).
Source: Rfam by way of RNAcentral